GCGGGAGUAGCUCAGUUGGUAGAGCGCUAGCCUUCCAAGCUGGAUGUCGCGGGUUCGAGACCCGUCUCCCGCUCCA
This 76-nucleotide transfer RNA is filed under the name Pseudomonadota bacterium. RNAcentral describes it as "tRNA-Gly". It matches the Rfam family "tRNA". From Rfam's summary of the family: Transfer RNA (tRNA) molecules are approximately 80 nucleotides in length. Their secondary structure includes four short double-helical elements and three loops (D, anti-codon, and T loops). Further hydrogen bonds mediate the characteristic L-shaped molecular structure. tRNAs have two regions of fundamental functional importance: the anti-codon, which is responsible for specific mRNA codon recognition, and the 3' end, to which the tRNAs corresponding amino acid is attached (by aminoacyl-tRNA synthetases). tRNAs cope with the degeneracy of the genetic code in two manners: having more than one tRNA (with a specific anti-codon) for a particular amino acid; and 'wobble' base-pairing, i.e. permitting non-standard base-pairing at the 3rd anti-codon position. Lineage: Bacteria; Pseudomonadati; Pseudomonadota. The record is from RNAcentral. RNAcentral also lists the same sequence under 1 other name.